CCCCCCCCCCCCCCCCCCCCCCCCCCCCCCCCCCCCCCCCCCCCCCCCCCCCCCCCCCCCCCCCCCCCCCCCCCCCCCCCCCCCCCCCCCCCCCCCCCCCCCCCCCCCCCCCCCCCCCAACGAACAAAUAAAAACACUAAAACAAAAAGAGGUGGGCGGGCGGUGGCAUCAUGGUCUGGCCGGGCAGUGCGCUCCCGUCUCCCCGCGGGCCGCUCCUGUUGUUUUCCCAGCAAUAGUCUGGGUAGGGCGAGCGUUUUCCAGCCGUGCCCUUGGACCUUUUUUCUGGAGCGGCCUUGGGGCACCGUCAGCGGCCAAGCCGGGGUGCGGGAGCGGGAAUCCCGCGGGCCGGGUGGCAACGAGUCCCGUGUGUUCUGUACAGAAAGGGAAUUCCCCUGUGUGCUCCAAAAAUCACAGUAGAAAAGCCAGUAGCAGCAAGGAAAAUAAGCUGAGGACAGAGAAAUAA
Molecule: long non-coding RNA, 463 nt
Filed under: Ficedula albicollis (Collared flycatcher)
Lineage: Eukaryota; Metazoa; Chordata; Aves; Passeriformes; Muscicapidae
Description: lncRNA (ENSFALG00000023294.1)
Source: RNAcentral